GACAGAGGUGCCAAGCGUUAGGCGGAAUCACUGGGCUUAAAGCGUGUGUAGGCGGGCGAUCAAGUACCUUGUGAAAUCCCACGGCUCAACCGUGGAACUGCUGGGUAUACUGGUUGUCUUGAGCCAGCUAGGGGCGAGCGGAACAGACGGUGGAGCGGUGAAAUGCGUAGAUAUCCGGAGGAAUACCAAAGGCGAAGGCAGUGUCCUGGCUGGCAACUGACGCUGAGGCGCGAAAGCUAGGGGAGCGAACAGG
Molecule: ribosomal RNA, 253 nt
Filed under: uncultured bacterium
Lineage: Bacteria
Description: partial 16S ribosomal RNA
Rfam family: Bacterial small subunit ribosomal RNA
Source: RNAcentral